CCUAUAAUUUCUCAUGGAUGUAAAAUAGAAUAUUAUUUUAAUUUAUUUUCUCUCUCUUUUAUAUUUAUUUUCUCUCAGAUGUUUGAAAAUUUUGUUUUUUAUUACUGAAGCAAUUCAAUUUAACCACUGAGUAUCUGUAUGUUUUCAAAUUAGAAACAUGAGAUUCCCCUAGAACCCCAAAUGUAGCAUUUGUGUUUUUUCUUGACUAUGGCUACUGAAAAAUUCUGGAUAGUUUUUUUGCAUAAUUUUCUGCAUUAUGGUUUUUAGGAUUUUGUUUUGGAUAAAUCAUGUUAUCACCAGGACAAUCCUGACCAUUCAAUUUUAUUUUUAUAAUCAGGAUUCAAGUUGGGAACUCUCCUCACUCUUAAGGUGCUUCCCCUUUCAGAAAUGUUUGUACAAGCAAAACAAAUGUAACCAAGUUUAGAAGAGAAACAACAAACUGGGGAAAAUGUUUAAUAAAUUUCUCUGAUGGAUGUCUCA
Molecule: long non-coding RNA, 480 nt
Filed under: Monodelphis domestica (gray short-tailed opossum)
Lineage: Eukaryota; Metazoa; Chordata; Mammalia; Didelphimorphia; Didelphidae
Description: lncRNA (ENSMODG00000043799.1)
Source: RNAcentral